This 673-nucleotide ribosomal RNA is filed under the name uncultured Vibrionaceae bacterium. Its description in RNAcentral is "bacterial SSU rRNA". It matches the Rfam family "Bacterial small subunit ribosomal RNA", at positions 1 to 671 of the family's 1533-position model. The record is from RNAcentral. Lineage: Bacteria; Pseudomonadati; Pseudomonadota; Gammaproteobacteria; Vibrionales; Vibrionaceae.
UAGAGUUUGAUCAUGGCUCAGAUUGAACGCUGGCGGCAGGCCUAACACAUGCAAGUCGAGCGGAAACGAGAAUAGCUUGCUAUUCGGCGUCGAGCGGCGGACGGGUGAGUAAUGCCUGGGAAAUUGCCCUGAUGUGGGGGAUAACCAUUGGAAACGAUGGCUAAUACCGCAUAAUAGCUUCGGCUUAAAGAGGGGGACCUUCGGGCCUCUCGCUUCAGGAUAUGCCCAGGUGGGAUUAGCUAGUUGGUGAGGUAAAGGCUCACCAAGGCGACGAUCCCUAGCUGGUCUGAGAGGAUGAUCAGCCACACUGGAACUGAGACACGGUCCAGACUCCUACGGGAGGCAGCAGUGGGGAAUAUUGCACAAUGGGCGCAAGCCUGAUGCAGCCAUGCCGCGUGUAUGAAGAAGGCCUUCGGGUUGUAAAGUACUUUCAGCAGUGAGGAAGGGUGUGUAGUUAAUAGCUGCAUACUUUGACGUUAGCUGCAGAAGAAGCACCGGCUAACUCCGUGCCAGCAGCCGCGGUAAUACGGAGGGUGCGAGCGUUAAUCGGAAUUACUGGGCGUAAAGCGCAUGCAGGUGGUUUGUUAAGUCAGAUGUGAAAGCCCGGGGCUCAACCUCGGAACCGCAUUUGAAACUGGCAGGCUAGAGUACUGUAGAGGGGGGUAGAAUUUCA